GGGGGAUAACUAAUCGAAAGAUUAGCUAAUUCCCGCAUAUCUUCUGAGGAAGAAAAGCAGGGGACCAUUUGGCCUUGCGCUGUUUGAGCGGCCGAUAUCUGAUUAGCUAGUUGUGGGGUAAAGGCCUACCAAGGCGACGAUCAGUAGCGGGUCUGAGAGGAUGAUCCGCCACACUGGGACUGAGACACGGCCCAGACUCCUACGGGAGGCAGCAGUGGGGAAUUUUGGACAAUGGGCGCAAGCCUGAUCCAGCCAUGCCGCGUGUCUGAAGAAAGGGCUUCGGGUUGUAAAGGACUUUUGUCAGGGAAGAAAAGGGCGGGGUUAAUACCCCUUCUGAUGACGGACCGAAGAAUAA
This 355-nucleotide ribosomal RNA is filed under the name Neisseria sicca. Its description in RNAcentral is "bacterial SSU rRNA". It matches the Rfam family "Bacterial small subunit ribosomal RNA", at positions 138 to 500 of the family's 1533-position model. Lineage: Bacteria; Pseudomonadati; Pseudomonadota; Betaproteobacteria; Neisseriales; Neisseriaceae. The record is from RNAcentral.